This 76-nucleotide transfer RNA is filed under the name Citrobacter amalonaticus. RNAcentral describes it as "tRNA-Thr". It matches the Rfam family "tRNA". Rfam says of the family: Transfer RNA (tRNA) molecules are approximately 80 nucleotides in length. Their secondary structure includes four short double-helical elements and three loops (D, anti-codon, and T loops). Further hydrogen bonds mediate the characteristic L-shaped molecular structure. tRNAs have two regions of fundamental functional importance: the anti-codon, which is responsible for specific mRNA codon recognition, and the 3' end, to which the tRNAs corresponding amino acid is attached (by aminoacyl-tRNA synthetases). tRNAs cope with the degeneracy of the genetic code in two manners: having more than one tRNA (with a specific anti-codon) for a particular amino acid; and 'wobble' base-pairing, i.e. permitting non-standard base-pairing at the 3rd anti-codon position. Lineage: Bacteria; Pseudomonadati; Pseudomonadota; Gammaproteobacteria; Enterobacterales; Enterobacteriaceae. The record is from RNAcentral.
GCCGGUUUAGCUCUAACAGUAGAGCAGUCUCCUUGUAAGCGAAUUGGUAGCGGUUCAAAUCCGUUAACCGGCACCA